UACGUAGGGUGCAAGCGUUAAUCGGAAUUACUGGGCGUAAAGCGUGCGCAGGCGGUUUUGUAAGUCUGUCGUGAAAGCCCCGGGCUCAACCUGGGAAUUGCGAUGGAGACUGCAAGGCUUGAAUCUGGCAGAGGGGGGUAGAAUACCACAUGUAGCAGUGUAAUGCGUAGAGAUGUGGAGGAACACCGAUGGCGAAGGCAGCCCCCUGGGUCAAGAUUGACGCUCAUGCACGAAAGCGUGGGGAGCAAACAGG
Molecule: ribosomal RNA, 253 nt
Filed under: uncultured bacterium
Lineage: Bacteria
Description: partial 16S ribosomal RNA
Rfam family: Bacterial small subunit ribosomal RNA
Source: RNAcentral